ACUCAAAUGAAUUGACGGGGGCCCGCACAAGCGGUGGAGUAUGUGGUUUAAUUCGACGCAACGCGAAGAACCUUACCCAGCCUUGACAUCCUCGGAACCUGAUGGAAACAUCGGGGUGCCUUCGCAAGAAGGAGCCGGGAGACAGGUGCUGCAUGGCUGUCGUCAGCUCGUGUCGUGAGAUGUUCGGUUAAGUCCGGCAACGAGCGCAACCCUUGCUUCCAGUUGCCAUCAUUCAGUUGGGAACUCUGGAGGAACUGCCGGCGCCAAGCCGGAGGAAGGUGGGGACGACGUCAAGUCAUCAUGGCCUUUAUGGCUGGGGCUACACACGUACUACAAUGGCGAAUACAAAGGGCCGCGAAGCCGCGAGGUGGAGCAAAUCCCAAAAAAAUCGCCUCAGUUCGGAUUGCAGUCUGCAACUCGACUGCAUGAAGUUGGAAUCGCUAGUAAUCGCGGAUCAGCACGCCGCGGUGAAUACGUUCCCGGGCCUUGUACACACCGCCCGU
This 503-nucleotide ribosomal RNA is filed under the name uncultured bacterium. Its description in RNAcentral is "partial 16S ribosomal RNA". It matches the Rfam family "Bacterial small subunit ribosomal RNA", at positions 899 to 1397 of the family's 1533-position model. The record is from RNAcentral.